Non-coding RNA from Lonchura striata (white-rumped munia), 523 nucleotides. Lineage: Eukaryota; Metazoa; Chordata; Aves; Passeriformes; Estrildidae. The record is from RefSeq and is a predicted model, not a curated record.
UAGCACCAGGAGACAGUGGAAUACUUCAGGACAUUGUGAAGAUUUCAGGCAACUUCCUGACAACUUCCAGCCCAGAACAGGACCCAGAACUCCAGGUUUGGACACAACAGCAUUGAGUAAAGGGGCAGGAUCACCUUCCUUGACCUGCUGGCAACUCUCUUCCCAAUGAAGCCCAGAAGGUCCUCAAGCUGCUUUUCAGCUGGUUGACCCCAGCUUUUACAGGUGGAGAUCAACAGCUCUUGAGUCAAGAAGAGCUGAUCCUUGAAAUCAGUCUGCCCUCCUGAACUCCUCCUCUCUUCUGCAAGAGGGUGUCACAUGGGAUUCUUCCAAGCAGUUCCCAUUGUUUGCUUUCCUGAUGUCCAGGGUUAUUAAAUUGCUAUCUUCUCUCAGGAUCCUGAGUUCCAUCUGCUCCUGGCAUUCACACUCAGGGGUCUAUGCUGGGGCCAGUUCUGUUCAAUAUUUUUACUGGUGACAUGGAUGAGGGUGUUGAGUCUAUCAUCAGUAAAUUUGCAGAUGAUACUAA